AGUGAACGCUGGCUGUAGGCCUAACACAUGCAAGUCGAACGGCAGCACAGUAAGAGCUUGCUCUUACGGGUGGCGAGUGUCGGACGGGUGAGGAAUACAUCGGAAUCUACUUUUUCGUGGGGUAUAACGUAGGGAAACUUACGCUAAUACCGCAUACGACCUACGGGUGAAAGCAGGGGAUCUUCGUACCUUGCGCGAUUUCAUGAGCCGAUGUCGGAUUAGCUAGUUGGCGGGGUAAAGGCCCACCAAGGCGACGAUCCGUGGCUGGUCUGAGAGGAUGAUCAGCCACACUGGAACUGAGACACGGUCCAGACUCAUACGGGAGGCAGCAGUGGGGAAUAUUGGACAAUGGGCGCAAGCCUGAUCCAGCCAUACCGCGUGGGUGAAGAAGGCCUUCGGGUUGUAAAGCCCUUUUGUUGGGAAAGAAAAGCAGCAGGUUAAUACCCCGCUGUUCUGACGGUACCCAAAGAAUAAGCACCGGCUAAAUUCGUG
RNAcentral lists this ribosomal RNA (492 nucleotides) under uncultured bacterium. RNAcentral's name for it is "partial 16S ribosomal RNA". It matches the Rfam family "Bacterial small subunit ribosomal RNA", at positions 29 to 507 of the family's 1533-position model. The record is from RNAcentral.